Molecule: ribosomal RNA, 484 nt
Filed under: uncultured bacterium
Lineage: Bacteria
Description: partial 16S ribosomal RNA
Rfam family: Bacterial small subunit ribosomal RNA
Source: RNAcentral
AUUGAACGCUGGCGGCAGGCCUAACACAUGCCAGUCGAGCGGAUGAAGGGAGCUUGCUCCUGGAUUCAGCGGCGGACGGGUGAGUAAUGCCUAGGAAUCUGCCUGGUAGUGGGGGAUAACGUCCGGAAACGGGCGCUAAUACCGCAUACGUCCUGAGGGAGAAAGUGGGGGAUCUUCGGACCUCACGCUAUCAGAUGAGCCUAGGUCGGAUUAGCUAGUUGGUGGGGUAAAGGCCUACCAAGGCGACGAUCCGUAACUGGUCUGAGAGGAUGAUCAGUCACACUGGAACUGAGACACGGUCCAGACUCCUACGGGAGGCAGCAGUGGGGAAUAUUGGACAAUGGGCGAAAGCCUGAUCCAGCCAUGCCGCGUGUGUGAAGAAGGUCUUCGGAUUGUAAAGCACUUUAAGUUGGGAGGAAGGGCAGUAAGUUAAUACCUUGCUGUUUUGACGUUACCAACAGAAGAAGCACCGGCUAACUUCGUG